GAUGAACGCUGGCGGCGUGCCUAAUACAUGCAAGUCGAGCGAACGGACGAGAAGCUUGCUUCUCUGAUGUUAGCGGCGGACGGGUGAGUAACACGUGGAUAACCUACCUAUAAUACUUGGAUAACUUCGGGAAACCGGAGCUAAUACCGGAUCAUAUUUUGAACCGCAUGGUUCAAAAGUUCAAGACGGUCUUGCUGUCACUUAUAGAUGGAUCCGCGCUGCAUUAGCUAGUUGGUAAGGUAACGGCUUACCAAGGCAACGAUGCAUAGCCGACCUGAGAGGGUGAUCGGCCACACUGGAACUGAGACACGGUCCAGACUCCUACGGGAGGCAGCAGUAGGGAAUCUUCCGCAAUGGGCGAAAGCCUGACGGAGCAACGCCGCGUGAGUGAUGAAGGUCUUCGGAUCGUAAAACUCUGUUAUUAGGGAAGAACAUAUGUGUAAGUAACUGUGCACAUCUUGACGGUACCUAAUCAGAAAGCCACGGCUAACUACGUG
This 497-nucleotide ribosomal RNA is filed under the name uncultured bacterium. RNAcentral's name for it is "partial 16S ribosomal RNA". It matches the Rfam family "Bacterial small subunit ribosomal RNA", at positions 28 to 507 of the family's 1533-position model. The record is from RNAcentral.